RNAcentral lists this ribosomal RNA (807 nucleotides) under uncultured bacterium. RNAcentral describes it as "bacterial SSU rRNA". It matches the Rfam family "Bacterial small subunit ribosomal RNA", at positions 27 to 824 of the family's 1533-position model. The record is from RNAcentral.
GGAUGAACGCUGGCGGCGUGCCUAACACAUGCAAGUCGAACGAAGCUUGACGGAUGAUUUCUUCGGAAUGAAACCUGAUAUGACUUAGUGGCGGACGGGUGAGUAACACGUGAGCAACCUGCCUUUCAGAGGGGGAUAACGGCUGGAAACGGUCGCUAAUACCGCAUGAUGUGUUCGGAUGGCAUCAUCUGAACAUCAAAGAUUUAUCGCUGAAAGAUGGGCUCGCGUCUGAAUAGAUAGUUGGGUGGGGUAACGGCCUACCAAGUCUACGAUCAGUAGCCGGACUGAGAGGUUGAACGGCCACAUUGGGGACUGAGAUACGGCCCAGACUCCUACGGGAGGCAGCAGUGGGGAAUAUUGCACAAUGGGGGGAAACCCUGAUGCAGCAACGCCGCGUGAAGGAUGACGGUUUUCGGAUUGUAAACUUCUUUUUCUUAGUGACGAAGACAGUGACGGUAGCUAAGGAAUAAGCAUCGGCUAACUACGUGCCAGCAGCCGCGGUAAUACGUAGGAUGCAAGCGUUAUCCGGAUUUACUGGGUGUAAAGGGAGCGCAGGCGGGACUGCAAGUUGGAUGUGAAAUACCGUGGCUUAACCACGGAACUGCAUCCAAAACUGUAGUUCUUGAGUGAAGUAGAGGCCAAGCGGAAUUCCGAGUUGUAGCGGUGAAAUGCGUAGAUAUUCGGAGGAACACCAGUGGCGAAGGCGGCUUGCUGGGCUUUAACUGACGCUGAGGCUCGAAAGUGUGGGGAGCAAACAGGAUUAGAUACCCUGGUAGUCCACACUGUAAACGAUGAUAGCUAGGUGUG